CAUUAUUUUGACUCGAAUAGUAUUUCACCUUCCACAUAGAGGCGAUAUUCCGCGUUUGAGGAUGUUGGACGAGACGCACAGAAGAAGAACCUACGGUGGCGGCGCCCGCAAUGUUGACUUUACAGUCAUUAAUUCAUUUAAAAAAUGACUUGUGUUUAGAAGCGACCAUAUCGUUAAUACUAAGACCGAAUUUCAAUAACCUGCAUGGGUCUGUGCAAAACUACUUCAAUAAGUGUAUAAUGUUAUUUGAAGGAUUCUUUCUCGCUGACGAAAGAUAAGGUCCAUAAGGUUUCGAAAGCCGCGUCGCAAGCGAUGGUUAUUGACGUUGCUAAACGUUAAAAUACAACGUCGGGCUCGUAGUUCACAUUAGCCAGUUGUGGGCGAAGGUAAUGGCUGGGACUCUAGGGAGAAGGCAGAAUGCCGCCCAGGGUUUUCGAGAGCUAGCUAUUAUCAUAUGUCAAACAUUGACGUCAAGCUGGGUUUUGGCUAACUGUUUUUUGGGCAUGGAAUAAGACCUACAUUUGAGUGCGAAUAGUUUCCAAAUUAAAGUUUACCCCAGACCUGCUUCCCAUAUUCAGGAGACAGUAUGAGAACAACAUCUUAACAGGAGCCAAGUUUCCUGACCCAGGCUGUUAUGGCCACACCCAGUUCCACCUGGUGCCUGAUAGGUAUCGCAGGGACAAAAUGGCUUAUCUGAAUCUGACUGACCAGAUUGAGGUCUACCUGAGAGCUCAUGGCAUUGCCAGUCUAUUCACAUGGACAGGAGCACAAGCCAUGUAUCAUGGUGUGUAGUCAUUACUUGAAUAUCAGGUGUUAUUCUCCUUACCACCCUAAGCAUCAGUAACUUUUAAUUCAUUUUACCAUUCAGCUGUUUUCUGCCUGCUCUUGAAUACAUUUAUUCUUGAUACAUUUUAGUUGUGAAUACCAUCAAUUGUUGUUAAAGGACAUUUUGUAAACUUGAACAAAACAUCAUCAGGUUUCUGGAGCCAUGAGGAUGUGGCCAGGUCCUUUGUGUCCUAGGCUGUGAUCACUAUUGGCCAGUACUUCUCUGUCUUCUGUUACCAGCUCAACUCCCUGGCCCUGUCCAUGAGACGGAUGCUGUGAACCCCAGGAAGAACUUGUGCUGGGGGACAGACAGUAUUCAUCUGUAUGAAAUGAAGCAUGGUGUUGUGGUUGGGCUGGAUGACAGGGUCCUCAAGCUCCUGGUCUGGUUCCUACUGGGCAGGUCAGGUGGACAUGGAGAGAUGGUGUAUGCAGGGUGAAAUAAGUGUUUUUGUUGAAUUGUUUCCAUCUGGAUUCAACAGUGGCAAAUGUCAAUUCAUGUACACUGAACAUGUGCAGUGUAUAUGUAUGUACGGUGUGUGUAUCUCUGGUAUGAUCUGGCAGAAUGUAUUCAUGUGGAAAGUAAAAACAGUUGCAUACAGGGUUGAUUGGUGUCCACAUCACUAAGGACCUAUCAUGGUUCAAACACACCAACAUAGUUGUGAAGUGGCCACAAUGCCUCUUCCCCCUCAGGAGGCUGAAAACAUUUGGCAUGGGCCCCUCAGUUAUUCAAACAGUUAUACAGCGGCACCAUUGUGAGCAUCUUGACUGGCUGCAUCACCUCUUGGUUUGGCAACUGCUCUGCAUCUGACCGCAAGGUGCUGUGGAGGGUAGUGCGUGCCUACGGCCCAGUACAUCACGGGUUGAGCUCCCUGCCAUCCAGGACCUCUAUACCAGGCUGUUUCAAUGGGGAAAGAUUGGCUCGUACCCCGCUACAGUGAUUAUUGUUGAAAACCCUGCUUCUGGUGUUCUGCUGUUUGCCACUAGGUGUCGCUUAGUCAAUGUGGACAAACAGCACAACCACAGAUGGAACAAGGAGACUGAUGUUUUACCGGAUGUAUAAAUCUGAAGCAUCUGGUUGGAAUUUCCACCCCUCACCAAAUAUGGUGAGGAGAGGAAGCCCAGUGGGAGAGUAUGGAGCGAGAUGGAACUGGGCUGGCGUUCUGCUGAUUUUUCUCAUAGAAGAAGAAAAGCCCGAUCUCAAUUAGUUAUCUUUUCCCAAAACUAGAAUCUGUUACAGAGUGCAAUACGUUUUGUAGAUGUGACCCUUUGCCAAAGUUCCCUAACGGAAAUAUGCAAAUAAAUGCUAUAACGCGCAAAUAGGAUCUCGGUAGCUUGUCCUUGGCUCUGCCCACCUCCUUGCUGGUUUUGCCCACUCUGCUUAAUUUUCUCCUAUGAAAAACUGCACAGAUGAAUGAUCUU
Molecule: non-coding RNA, 2244 nt
Organism: Oncorhynchus mykiss (rainbow trout)
Lineage: Eukaryota; Metazoa; Chordata; Actinopteri; Salmoniformes; Salmonidae
Source: RefSeq, a predicted model, not a curated record